This 253-nucleotide ribosomal RNA is filed under the name uncultured bacterium. RNAcentral's name for it is "partial 16S ribosomal RNA". It matches the Rfam family "Bacterial small subunit ribosomal RNA", at positions 524 to 776 of the family's 1533-position model. The record is from RNAcentral.
UACGUAGGGGGCAAGCGUUAUCCGGAUUUACUGGGUGUAAAGGGCGUGCAGCCGGGCUGACAAGUCAGAUGUGAAAUCCCGCGGCUCAACUGCGGAACUGCAUUUGAAACUGUCAGUCUUGAGUACCGGAGAGGUCAUCGGAAUUCCUUGUGUAGCGGUGAAAUGCGUAGAUAUAAGGAAGAACACCAGUGGCGAAGGCGGAUGACUGGACGGCAACUGACGGUGAGGCGCGAAAGCGUGGGGAGCAAACAGG